UACAGAUGUCCCAAGCGUUGUUCGGAUUCAUUGGGCGUAAAGGGUGCGUAGGCGGCGCGGUAAGUCGGGUGUGAAAUCUCGGGGCUUAACUCCGAAACUGCAUUCGAUACUGCCGUGCUUGAGGACUGGAGAGGAGACUGGAAUUUACGGUGUAGCAGUGAAAUGCGUAGAUAUCGUAAGGAAGACCAGUGGCGAAGGCGGGUCUCUGGACAGUUCCUGACACUGAGGCACGAAGGCCAGGGGAGCAAACGGG
Molecule: ribosomal RNA, 253 nt
Filed under: uncultured bacterium
Lineage: Bacteria
Description: partial 16S ribosomal RNA
Rfam family: Bacterial small subunit ribosomal RNA
Source: RNAcentral